This is a non-coding RNA of Myotis lucifugus (little brown bat), 75 nucleotides long. The record is from Rfam. NCBI's taxonomy places the organism in Eukaryota, Metazoa, Chordata, Mammalia, Chiroptera, Vespertilionidae.
GGCAGUUUUCAGGUGACGCACCCCAGAAUUGGGCUCCCUCCUCUCUGGUUCCUGGUGCGUCACCUAAGAAUCUCA